UACAGAGGUCCCAAGCGUUGUUCGGAUUCAUUGGGCGUAAGGGGUGCGUAGGCGGCGCGGUAAGUCGGGUGUGAAAUCUCGGGGCUUAACUCCGAAACUGCAUUCGAUACUGCCGUGCUUGAGGACUGGAGAGGAGACUGGAAUUUACGGUGUAGCGGUGAAAUGCGUAGAUAUCGUAAGGAAGACCAGUGGCGAAGGCGGGUCUCUGGACAGUUCCUGACGCUGAGGCACGAAGGCCAGGGGAGCAAACGGG
This 253-nucleotide ribosomal RNA is filed under the name uncultured bacterium. Its description in RNAcentral is "partial 16S ribosomal RNA". It matches the Rfam family "Bacterial small subunit ribosomal RNA", at positions 524 to 776 of the family's 1533-position model. The record is from RNAcentral.